AGCCCCGCCCACCAGGCCGGGUGCCGGGGAGGCGCCGGGAGACCGGAGCCCGCUGGGUUCCGCCGCGGCCACCGCGUGGCAGGGGUGGGGAGGGCGUUCGGUGCCGGGGCCGCGCCCGACCGCCCGACGACUGAAAAGGCGUUUGGGAAUGUGGGAGCCCCGCGUACUCGGCGGCGCUGGUGUUUGGGGAAACUCAAUUGGGCGGAAGUAAGCCUGGUAUGUCCCUGUAAUGGAGUACUGUGCUGUUAGGCUGCUCCUAAAACUCUGUAAAAACAAAAGCAAAUCUGCAUAAAUAUUCAAGUAGAUAACAUUUGCAUAUAUCAGAGCAUGAUUCUAAGCGCUAUGAAAUGGCUCCAGAAACCAGCUUAAAUCCAUCUGGACAGGUCCGAUCCACUUCAGGCUUUUCCUGUCUCACCAGCAUCCUGUCAGAUACAAAAGCAGCCAGAGUGCCAAGCCAAGAGGGAUCCACGGCUCCAGAGCAAUGGAUGACAGACCACACAUCAUCCCACAACGCCGGUCUACCUCGGAAGGCCCCCCUUCUCUAUUCCCCCUAAAAGCCAACCAAUGCCCACCCAAUCAGCUGGAAGCAGUUUUUCUGGGAGAAACGAUGCCCCGAUUCCUAUUUACUUGCUUUUUAUACUAAGCAAAAGUCUGGAAAGUUAGGAUCCUGCUCUCGCUCUUCUGGGUCUAAUGUCUUACAUCAUCGAUGUACCCGCUGCGUGGUCAUGCAAUCUCCACCUUAAAAAGCCACACACAGACCCCCAUGUUCUCUCUACGUUCCUCUUUUGGUUUCCUCUCUGCACUGCUCCCGCCAUCUUUCUGCCUCCGCCAGGCCUGGCUUCCCCCCUCUUUCCCUCCAAUAAAGCUCUAAAAACUAA
Molecule: long non-coding RNA, 878 nt
Organism: Peromyscus californicus insignis
Lineage: Eukaryota; Metazoa; Chordata; Mammalia; Rodentia; Cricetidae
Exons: 2
Source: RefSeq, a predicted model, not a curated record